GCCGGGGACCCUGCUGGCUGAGCUCUGGCCGCCUGGCACCCUGGCCUCGCCAGCCUUCAGCAAGCCCCCCCAGGGAGGAAAGAAGGGAAAUGUGCUCAGCUUGCUGCAUGUCCGUUUCACCUCAGAAAAGCUGUCGGGAGACCUCCUUGUGUCCUUGGGGCGAAGGUACAACCUGCGGCUGGUGAGUGCAGUGCCCUCUCCACUCCCCGUUAUUCAGACCUCAUGUCCUGGAUGAGCCCUCGAGCCAGGACUGUCAUCCGAGGAGGGAGGUCUGUAAAGUCCCACGAGGAUUGUGGGUUUGUGUCUCCUGUGGUUCUGUUAUUUCUUGCUUUUGUUAUUUUGAGG
Molecule: long non-coding RNA, 345 nt
Organism: Bos taurus (domestic cattle)
Lineage: Eukaryota; Metazoa; Chordata; Mammalia; Artiodactyla; Bovidae
Source: Ensembl